UGCUAGUUCUAUUUGGGCUAGUCCUGGGGAAGAUCACCAAGAGUCUCAAAAAGUGCUAAGGUUUUUUUUUACAGGAAAGGUCACUGUCUUUUAAGUUUUCCUUUCAAGUAUCCCUUUGGAACUUUGCAUGAUUGUUUUAAAUCCUGAUUUAUAUAACCAAAACCUUUGCAUGUUUGUUUAAAUCCUAGUUUAUAUAGCUAAAUCCAAUGGCCAACACUU
Molecule: long non-coding RNA, 219 nt
Filed under: Carica papaya (papaya)
Lineage: Eukaryota; Viridiplantae; Streptophyta; Magnoliopsida; Brassicales; Caricaceae
Description: long non-coding RNA (CPAP_LNC008851)
Source: RNAcentral